GUAGGUGGCAAGCGUUGUCCGGAAUUAUUGGGCGUAAAGCGCGCGCAGGCGGUCCUUUAAGUCUGAUGUGAAAGCCCACGGCUCAACCGUGGAGGGUCAUUGGAAACUGGGGGACUUGAGUACAGAAGAGGAAAGCGGAAUUCCACGUGUAGCGGUGAAAUGCGUAGAGAUGUGGAGGAACACCAGUGGCGAAGGCGGCUUUCUGGUCUGUAACUGACGCUGAGGCGCGAAAGCGUGGGGAGCAAACAGGAUUAGAUACCCUGGUAGUCCACGCCGUAAACGAUGAGUGCUAAGUGUUAGGGGGUUUCCGCCCCCCUUAGUGCUGCAGCUAACGCAUUAAGCACUCCGCCUGGGAGUACGGCCGCAAGGCUG
Molecule: ribosomal RNA, 372 nt
Filed under: uncultured organism
Description: partial 16S ribosomal RNA
Rfam family: Bacterial small subunit ribosomal RNA
Source: RNAcentral